Molecule: ribosomal RNA, 253 nt
Filed under: uncultured bacterium
Lineage: Bacteria
Description: partial 16S ribosomal RNA
Rfam family: Bacterial small subunit ribosomal RNA
Source: RNAcentral
UACGAGGGGGGCGAGCGUUGUUCGGAAUUAUUGGGCGUAAAGGGCGCGUAGGCGGCCUGGUAAGCGUGCGGUGAAAGCCCGGGGCUUAACCCCGGGUCGGCAGUGGAUACGGGCAGGCUAGAGGUAGGUAGGGGAGAAUGGAAUUCCCGGUGUAGCGGUGAAAUGCGCAGAUAUCGGGAGGAACACCGGUGGCGAAGGCGGUUCUCUGGGCCUUACCUGACGCUGAGGAGCGAAAGCGUGGGGAGCGAACAGG